Long non-coding RNA from Brassica rapa (field mustard), 5545 nucleotides. RefSeq lists it as uncharacterized. NCBI's taxonomy places the organism in Eukaryota, Viridiplantae, Streptophyta, Magnoliopsida, Brassicales, Brassicaceae. The record is from RefSeq and is a predicted model, not a curated record.
CCCCGUUGAAAUCAUUAGCCAUUUAUUCGAAGAUGACUGUCUGUCGGUGAUGUUAUCUCUGCUCCAGUUGCUGUUACGUCCGCCAGAUUUAGGAUCUUGGACUUGUCCGCUCUUCUCAGGAGAUUGUUGGUCGUUUUCUCCGAUUCUAGGAUUCACCUGACGUCAGAAGAGCAUAUAAUUCAUGGGUAUCACUUUGAUGAAAAGCUGCACGUCCUAAUGAAUACCAUGGAGCUUUACGAUCAGGUGCCAUUGUGAAAGUUGGUGGUUUCGAAGUUGGACGUUGUACUAAUAUGUACAAGAUAACGGAUAGCCCUUUCGUCUUCCAAAUCCCAAAGUUUUUGGAGGUACGGUCACCUAUAUAUAUUUUACAUUGUGCAUAUACAGAUGGUCAAUCUUUUCUAUGCAAAUAUAUUACUAGCUACGUGUGAAACUCACUCACUAAUGCACACUCGGUCAUGUUAGGUAAUCUCUAUUUGAACUCCACCCCAGCGACCAAAUUUUAUUUGGACACCAACAUCCUUGCCAUCGAAGCUUUCACCAAUAGGUCAGUCUAAAGUGUUAUGCAAACGGAGCACCACCAUAUUAUUCUACUUUUUUAACCCACGCUUAGAUACCUAACUGCGUUUCAUUUGUACAUUGCUUCUGCUGUCUAUUGUCCAAUCAAUAUUAGCUAUUAUAUGGCAUGCUUGCUAAAAUAUAUCUUUGGACGCAUCUUGGGUGUUGCACCAACAAAGGCUUUCCCACGUACAUGUUUCAAUAGCAGGCCUCCACACGUACAUAGCCAAGUCAAACAACCAGGUUUCCAAAACUCUAUUUUCUAUCAUUUCUUGACUAUAAAAAUGAAACUUGUCUCAGCUACUUUUUCUCCAUUGACACCGUAAAGACCCAGAAAGCUAACUUCCUUUUUAAAGCUUGGAAGUGUGCUACAACAGAAUGGUGGGCCGUACGUUUCUUGCACCGGUUGCAGCAGGAAGUUGGACAAAUCAUGGAGUGCACUAUACCGCAACAAAUGUGUAUCACCCAAGAUCACCGGGGUUUUAAGGUAACAAAGAGUCUUACAUAUUCAUACCUAUAACCAUAUUCAAAGUUUAAAUAAGACUUGGACGUAAACGUAAACUCCUCAUGUAUCACUUUGAGUUGGCUGUUGACGAUGGCCAUGAAACGUAAUACGUUUGUUGUCUUUGAGUCCAAGAUGACAAAAAGAAAUGUAACCACAGUCGCUCUUGAGGAGGUCAACUUCCAUAGUUACACUUAUUUAAUAUCUUGCUUCUCACCUGUUCAUGGUUAUUGUCAUUUAAAAACUUUUACAACUGCGACAGGUUAAUGGCAGUGGAGGGUAUGAGCUUUUAAGCUGCCUCGCGGAUCUUGAUGGGCAGCAGUACCUUUUCCAAAUUCGGAUAACGCCCUAUAAUUUCACUCCCAGACACCGGACCUUCACAGUGUCUGCAAUCAGUGAUGAUAUUUGUUCCUAAAACUAAGUCAGAGGUAGGCUACGUGAGGUACGAAUACAUUGUAACCCGGUUAAACAAAAAUGACCCACGUGACCAACUUUGUUUCAAGGGGAAAGCAGCAGCAGCCAGCAUCCCUCCUCAGCUGGAUCUCCAAUCUAAGGAACCACACGCUUCUGCACGCAUUCUGGUGAUGAGACUCCAAACAUAGUGAAAGUUGAUCCCCACCAAUACCACUAAACUUUGGAGCCGAAUAGACGAGCCGCAACCGCCCACGUGUGUUAUCCUAGCAAGUUCAGCAAACCUUUGUUCCCACUUAGAUUUGCUUCCCUGUUCUACAAGCUCUGGAAUAAGCUACAGCUACUACUCUUUUCCUAUGUUUUAAGUUUUUUUUUUUUGAUUUUUUAGUUACCUUCAAUCAAGCUUCCAGUAGGAGUGUAGUAAUUUGGCAACAUUAAUAAAGGGAACCUUGACGGGUAUUUGUAAUUUUUCACAAUAAACGUCUGGUUUGGUUCAUGCUUAAAUACACAUUACAUCCACAUCGCAAAAGGAAUAAACUACAACGUUUGCUGGCCUAAGGCUCACUUCUGUCUUUUAAAUAACCUUGUUGGGUUAAAUCACACCGCUGAGUUCUAAAUAACUUUUAAAAGAAGAAAAAAUCUCAUGAGUAACUAGGCGAGCAAGAUAACCAGAGCAGGAAAAACUAAUAAAUCUAUAAGUGAGAAGAGGAGGACUUUGCCAACCCCGACGAGCUGAACAACAUUCGUCUUCCUUCUUUCAACACCUCCCGAGGGGCUAUUGGUAGCAAACCAAAUGUCAGCCUCUUCCUCUGCUUUUGAAAUGAUUGAAAUGGGAUUAUAUUGGACAUUUUCAAAGACCAUCGCAUUCCUCAACUUCUAGAUUUGUCAUAGAACUCAUGGGAAUACUCACACAAAAGAAGACUAAAACAAUCAUUUUAAGAGGAAACAAAUACACUAAUUAGUUUGUAUUGCGUGUGUUGCAAGAAAAACAAUGAUUUAAUGAUUUCCAUAUAAAUAACAAUCACAUUUUUAAAUAUAACAUGUUCAGCAAGUAUUCUAAUUAUUUAGAUCAGGCAUAUUUUACUUGAUUCACGACACCAAACACAAAAAAGUUACCCCACUUCAUCAUCCCACUCCAAUCCUAUUACAGUAUAAAUCGUACAAAAUUAAAGACUACAGCAAAACAGGGCAUCACCUCCACAUAUUUAGCUAGAGAAACAACUAUAUCCACGAUCUCGUGUUUGCGCGCGAAGGUUAUACCCCUAGUUCUUAUAAAAAUAGAAUUCAUAUAUUUAUAUCUCUUGUUAGCUUUCUCUUUUUUUUUUUUUGGUCACAAAGAUACUUCAUUAAUUAAAAGGUCCAAAAGAGGUCCAGCCCAUAGGGAUCCAUUACAUUAGGGAGUUUCUCAGAGCGGUCUUUGCCAGAGUAUCCGCUUCAUCGUUAUCCCUUCUACCAAUAUGAAAAAAACUGAUUGAAACAAAUACAGAAGAAAGAUCAUGAAUAUCCUUGACGAUUCCAAGCAAUUCCUUCCUCUGUGUCUUGUUGUUGAUUGCUCCAAUGAGCGUUAGAUUGUCGGAGCACAUCCAGAGAUUCGAGAUCCCUUGAUUUGCAGCCAUGAAGAGGCCCUCUCGAACCGCUAGCGCCUCGGCGAUCAAAGGGGAGUUUACAAAGUUCUGGACCACUGCUCCUUGUCGUUCCGCCGUCUCGGGAGUUCUGCUAAAUGUCCAAGCGAGGCCAGCUCUGUAUCGAGUCUCAUCCCACGCAGCAUCUGUUUUGCAAACAGAGAUUUGGGGAUCCAGUUGAGGAGUUGCGCUUUUUCCUUCAAAUACCAGAAGGUUUCGUGCCUUCCAAAUCGUCCAACAUACCCACGGAAAGAUAGCUUUUGAAACUCCAGUUGGUGGUAGACAGACUGCUGAUCUAAAUCGAGUUGUUGCCUUUUUGAAAGUGUCUGUGACAGCUAUGUGAACUGUUUCUCGCAGUGGGAUACAUUCCCAGACUUUCUUUGCAAACGGACAGAGAAAGAAGGUUUCUCCCCCAGGGGUAGGGCGUCCUGGAUGACUGACCAAAUAAAGACUUUCAUUUUUGGGGAACAAGAAGUCUUCCAUACAUCUCUGAUCCAAUCAAAUUCCCCAGCAGGUAGAGGUUGCCAGAUAUAGCUAUCUUCCGACCCUCUCAAGCUUGGUUUCAGACACUGGAUUUGCUCAGCAAACUCAGGUGGGAAUGGCAGAGAGCACCGCCUUGAGCAUUGUUAAUUUCCCAGCCUUUGAUAAACACCUUGUGGACCAACUCACAGCUCGUUGCCGUAUUCUAUCUACAAUGGAUGUAAAUAGAUCACGCUUCCGACGGCCAAAGUGUUUCGGAGCUCCAAGAGGCAGCUUCAUACUGCGAGAGUACUUUUAAUAGGCUUCUACUGGAUUCGGAGGAUGCAGGGCAGAAGAACAUAGUGUCGUCUGCAAACAGCAGAUGGUUCACUCUCGGACAUCCUCUUGCCACUCUAACGCCUUGUAAGGACUCCCGUGGAGAAGAAUUGUUGAAUUUCUUGGAUGAUAGCAGGGCCAGUUAUCUCCCAGUUUGACUGGAAGAAAGCAGCAGAGAAGCCAUCCGGACCCGGAGCUUUGUCUGGGUGGAUGGCGAAGGGAGCAAGCGCAUCCUGAACUAUAUGAAGACCGCCUGAGGGGAUAGAUGUAAAGAGUCUAGAGUAGUAGCUACAUAUGACCUCUGAGAUACCCUCUUCCUCAUAAACAGGCAAGCCAUCCUCGUCUUCCAUGACCGUCAGUCUGUUUUUGGACUUUCUGACUCUUGCUGAAGCAUGAAAAUACCCCGUGUUUGCAUCUCCUAGUGACAGCCACAAUUGGCGACUUCUCUGUUUCGAGAAACUCUCCUCCUCCAUGUAAGUUUUUAACAGUUUAGCAUUCAACUCUUUAAACGGAAAUAAAUCCAACUCCUUAUUAAUUUCUUUGGUCCAAUUCUGCUUUUCUUGGUUCCUGGUCUAACGCUUUCUCCAUCCUAGAAAAAUCACAAUCAUGUCAUUAUAUGGUUAUUGAAUUGAUUUUAUCAACUUUAGAUUUAUAUGUGAUAGAAAAAACACAAUCAAGUCAUUGUAUAUAUAAUUAUUGAAUUGAUUUUAUCAACUGUAGAUUAAUUUCUAUAUAUAUAUAUGCAAUAAUUUGAUUUCGAGAACUUCGUGACAAAAAGAAAAAACGAUUUCGAGAACUAACAGCACACGUGCAGUGACUUUUCUUCGAAACCAAUGGUGUAGCAAGGGUGGAUCUACAGUACGGGGAACGGGGUAAGUUGUUGACCCGGUAACGUCCUGCUCUUAAUUCCAGUGUUCGAAGCCACACGCUUUAUUAUUUUGUAUGACACGUCUUACUCUUGUUUCUUCCCCUCUUGCUGUACAAUUUAGGGGGUUUACAAAAUAUCAAUUUGUGUAGAUUUUGUGAAUUUUAAAUGUUGAUAGAUCUUAAAAGUUUUGUGGAUUAAGAAUAUAUAUAUACACUAACUUACAAAAUUUAAUUGUAACUUUUCUAGAUUGAUAUUUCAUUAAUUUAUAUUAUUUAUUUUCUAUCAUUUAUUUUGUAAAUUAAAUAUAUGAUUGAGAAAUUUCCUAGGAUGAUUCUAAAAAUAAUUUCAAUUUUUUUUCGAAUUUCAAAAUAAAAUUUUGAAAAAAAAAAUCCAAUUUGUUUUCAAAAAAUUAUAUAGAAAAAAGAUUUUGAGAAAAAAAUAUCGAAAAGUUCGAACUCAAAAACGUAUAAUUCAAAAAUUAUAUAAUUUUUUUAAUGAUUAAACAAUAAAAUAUAAUUAUAAAUUCAAAAAUGUAAUUGUAUAAAAUGUAAUGAAUUAUAAUUUUGGACAUUUAAUUUGGGUUGAAGGUGCAAAAGAUAUUUGUUUUCUAGGCUUUUCUAUCAGAUAGAUUUUAUAAAUCUCUUGGAUACACAAGAUAUUUUGAAAGUUAUGUCUUAAGAGUAAACAUAAAAAAAUUCAUCUCCUAAUAACAAUAGAUUUAGUUAGAAUUAAAGAAUCCAUAAUAACUACACUUUUUGAAUAACAAAUUUUUUUAAUGAAUUAAAAAAAAAU